GGCCCAGUGGCCUAAUGGAUAAGGAAUCAGCCUUCAAAGCUAGGGAUUGUGGGUUUAAGUGCCAUUUGGGUUG
RNAcentral lists this transfer RNA (73 nucleotides) under Danio rerio (zebrafish). It matches the Rfam family "tRNA". From Rfam's summary of the family: Transfer RNA (tRNA) molecules are approximately 80 nucleotides in length. Their secondary structure includes four short double-helical elements and three loops (D, anti-codon, and T loops). Lineage: Eukaryota; Metazoa; Chordata; Actinopteri; Cypriniformes; Danionidae. The record is from Rfam by way of RNAcentral.